Molecule: long non-coding RNA, 1109 nt
Filed under: Setaria viridis
Lineage: Eukaryota; Viridiplantae; Streptophyta; Magnoliopsida; Poales; Poaceae
Description: long non-coding RNA (SVIR_LNC004717)
Source: RNAcentral
UUGGAAUCUUUUGGCCUUUUCUUAGGCAGUCCGGUGAACAUAUAUGGGGUCAGGAAACGAGACGUUAGCAUAAACAACAAACAUGUCUCAUGUAUUAGGCCCUGCUUUUUUCUACUUUUAGUUAAAGAUUGUGUCUUUUACAUGUUUUACAAUCAAAGAUAAAACAAACAUGCAUAUUUUUUCUUGUAUUUCAUAAUCUAAUCAUGGAUUGUCACAAUCUAGUAAUCCACAUCGUUGUCUUUUAUGCCAUAUUGUGGUAUACAUAUUUACCCACCAUAUACUAUUACAACGAUAAUAACAUAAUGGUUCUCUUCACCUCCUUCCGGCUCAAUCUUCUUGCAUGUGCAACGAAUGGAAUGGGAAAUAGAGGGGAAGGGAGGAGGAGAUCGUGGGGAAUCUAUUUUGUGAUUGAAUUGAGAUGAGACCACAAUAAGUGGAGGGGCGACCGAGGCUUAUCCAUGGCUACAUUCUCUUCGUAUGUUAGGAGAAAGAGAUUUUUUUUUUGAAAACAGAAAAAUUGAGAAAGAGAGAUAUAGGAGGAAGAUAAUACGGGCCACAUGUAAAUGAGAGAGAGAGAAAGAGACCGCAGUUUUCAAUUUUUUUAACAACGCAGUUUUCCAAAACCCACAAUCUAUAAUUUAAUUUUCAAAAUUUCUAACUGAAAUAAACAUGCCCUUAAGGCCCCGUUUGGGUCCAAGGAAUUGGAAUCUAUUUAAUGAAGUAGGCUAAUUUAUGUUGGAAUGUGGCAUUCCACAACUUUCCAAAGUUUAGAUAUAAGUCUAUCUUAAAUUCAUGGGGUGGGAGAUGGAAAUUGAUUCUAUAGAUUAUGGUUAUUAGAAUGGAAUUCAAUUCUUAUAGCACGCUCUUAGACUCGCUUCUCUAUAGUAGAAGUGAAGCAUACAAGUAUCUCUCCCAUAUCACCAACUAUAAUAUACAACUAUAUUCCACAUACAAUUAUAUUAGCUUAAUUAAUUUGUGUCUAAAUUAUGAUUAUUAGGAUGGAAUUCAAUUCCAAUGAUCCAAACGGGGCCUAAUUAAUUUCCUUCUCGAUGUCAUUGACCUACGGUUGACGUACUGCACCCUGCAACUCCAUGGGUUGAGCCACCGAC